This 253-nucleotide ribosomal RNA is filed under the name uncultured bacterium. Its description in RNAcentral is "partial 16S ribosomal RNA". It matches the Rfam family "Bacterial small subunit ribosomal RNA", at positions 524 to 776 of the family's 1533-position model. The record is from RNAcentral.
UACGGAGGGGGCUAGCGUUGUUCGGAAUUACUGGGCGUAAAGCGCACGUAGGCGGAUUAGUCAGUCAGAGGUGAAAUCCCAGGGCUCAACCCUGGAACUGCCUUUGAUACUGCUAGUCUUGAGGUCGAGAGAGGUGAGUGGAAUUCCGAGUGUAGAGGUGAAAUUCGUAGAUAUUCGGAGGAACACCAGUGGCGAAGGCGGCUCACUGGCUCGAUACUGACGCUGAGGUGCGAAAGCGUGGGGAGCAAACAGG